RNAcentral lists this ribosomal RNA (496 nucleotides) under uncultured bacterium. RNAcentral describes it as "partial 16S ribosomal RNA". It matches the Rfam family "Bacterial small subunit ribosomal RNA", at positions 28 to 506 of the family's 1533-position model. The record is from RNAcentral.
GAUGAACGCUGGCGGCGUGCCUAAUACAUGCAAGUCGAGCGAACAGACGAGGAGCUUGCUCCUUCGACGUUAGCGGCGGACGGGUGAGUAACACGUAGGUAACCUACCUAUAAGACUGGGAUAACUUCGGGAAACCGGAGCUAAUACCGGAUAAUAUUUCGAACCGCAUGGUUCGAUAGUGAAAGAUGGCUUUGCUAUCACUUAUAGAUGGACCUGCGCCGUAUUAGCUAGUUGGUAAGGUAACGGCUUACCAAGGCAACGAUACGUAGCCGACCUGAGAGGGUGAUCGGCUACACUGGAACUGAGACACGGUCCAGACUCCUACGGGAGGCAGCAGUAGGGAAUCUGCCGCAAUGGGCGAAAGCCUGACGGAGCAACGCCGCGUGAGUGAUGAAGGUCUUCGGAUCGUAAAACUCUGUUAUUAGGGAAGAACAAACGUGUAAGUAACUGUGCACGUCUUGACGGUACCUAAUCAGAAAGCCACGGCUAACUACGU